This 76-nucleotide transfer RNA is filed under the name Rhodospirillaceae bacterium. RNAcentral's name for it is "tRNA-Asn". It matches the Rfam family "tRNA". From Rfam's summary of the family: Transfer RNA (tRNA) molecules are approximately 80 nucleotides in length. Their secondary structure includes four short double-helical elements and three loops (D, anti-codon, and T loops). RNAcentral also lists the same sequence under 1 other name. The record is from RNAcentral. Lineage: Bacteria; Pseudomonadati; Pseudomonadota; Alphaproteobacteria; Rhodospirillales; Rhodospirillaceae.
UCCCCGGUAGCUCAGUUGGCAGAGCAGGUGGCUGUUAACCACCGUGUCGCUGGUUCGAGUCCGGCCCGGGGAGCCA